UUUUGUAAGUCUUUUAAAACCCUUUAAAAUCCCUUGUAAAUCUUUUUAAGCCCUUUUAAAAUUUCUUGUCAACAUUUUAAAACCUUUUUAAAAUCCCUUGUAAAUCAUUUAAAACUCUUUUAAAAUUCCUUGUAAAUAUUUUAAAACCCUUUUAAAAUCUCUUAUAAAUCUUUGAAAACCCUUUUAAAAUCCCUUGUAAAUCUAUUACCCACAAAAAAAAACU
Molecule: small RNA, 223 nt
Filed under: Arabidopsis thaliana (thale cress)
Lineage: Eukaryota; Viridiplantae; Streptophyta; Magnoliopsida; Brassicales; Brassicaceae
Description: ATSL151540
Source: RNAcentral